UAUGUGAUCGUCUCUCGCAUAUCAAUAAGCGGAGGAAAAGAAACUAACAAGGAUUCCCCUAGUAACGGCGAGUGAAGCGGGAAGAGCUCAAAUUUGAAAUCUUAAAGGGUUUCCCUUUACGAAUUGUAGUUUAAGGAAGUGUUUUCUGUUGAGGUUUUGGUAAAAGUUCUUUGGAAUAGGACAUCAUAGAGGGUGAGAAUCCCGUAUUUGACCUUUACUUUCAACUUUGUGAUACACUUUCAAAGAGUCGGAUUGUUUGGGAAUGCAGUCCAAAAUGGGUGGUAAAUUUCAUCUAAAGCUAAAUAUUGGCGAGAGACCGAUAGCGAACAAGUACCGUGAGGGAAAGAUGAAAAGAACUUUGAAAAGAGAGUUAAACAGUACGUGAAAUUGUCAAAAGGGAAGCGUUUGACACCAGUGUUGUUUUUCUGAAAAUCAAUUAAAGAACUGUUUAUGCUAAGUUGUUUAGACUUUAUCAGCUAACUGUUUAGUUUUGAGCUUUUCUUUAAUGCACUUUUCAGUUAACAAGUCAACAUCAAUUUCUUUUGCUGUAAAAAAGCUUGAGGAAGGUGGCUUGAGAUUCGUCUUAAGUGUUUAUAGCCUCUUGCCUAUGCAGUCGGAGAGAUUGAGGUCUGCAGCGUAGAUCCUUCGGGGCUAAAUGCAUUUGUGCUAAGUUAUAGCAUUUUAUAGACAACUUGUUGACUAUGAUUUGUCUUGUAGCUUACUCGCUUAUGUUAUUUUACCUACGCUUAGGAUGUUGAAGACUCUACAGAGAU
Molecule: ribosomal RNA, 773 nt
Filed under: uncultured Neocallimastigales
Lineage: Eukaryota; Fungi; Neocallimastigomycota; Neocallimastigomycetes; Neocallimastigales
Description: partial large subunit ribosomal RNA
Rfam family: Eukaryotic large subunit ribosomal RNA
Source: RNAcentral